This 433-nucleotide ribosomal RNA is filed under the name uncultured bacterium. Its description in RNAcentral is "partial 16S ribosomal RNA". It matches the Rfam family "Bacterial small subunit ribosomal RNA", at positions 29 to 507 of the family's 1533-position model. The record is from RNAcentral.
AACGAACGCUGGCGGCAUGCCUAACACAUGCAAGUCGAACGAGACCUUCGGGUCUAGUGGCGCACGGGUGCGUAACGCGUGGGAACCUGCCCUUAGGUUCGGAAUAACUCCCCGAAAGGGGUGCUAAUACCGGAUAAUGUCUUCGGACCAAAGAUUUAUCGCCUUUGGAUGGGCCCGCGUUGGAUUAGCUAGUUGGUAGGGUGAAAGCCUACCAAGGCGACGAUCCAUAGCUGGUCUGAGAGGAUGAUCAGCCACACUGGGACUGAGACACGGCCCAGGCUCCUACGGGAGGCAGCAGUGGGGAAUAUUGGACAAUGGGCGAAAGCCUGAUCCAGCAAUGCCGCGUGAGUGAUGAAGGCCUUAGGGUUGUAAAGCUCUUUUACCCGGGAUGAUAAUGACAGUACCGGGAGAAUAAGCUCCGGCUAACUCCGUG